Molecule: ribosomal RNA, 256 nt
Filed under: uncultured bacterium
Lineage: Bacteria
Description: partial 16S ribosomal RNA
Source: RNAcentral
CUGCUGCCUCCCGUAGGAGUUUGGACCGUGUCUCAGUUCCAAUGUGGGGGACCUUCCUCUCAGAACCCCUAUCCAUCGAAGACUAGGUGGGCCGUUACCCCGCCUACUAUCUAAUGGAACGCAUCCCCAUCGUCUACCGGAAUACCUUUAAUCAUGUGAACAUGUGAACUCAUGAUGCCAUCUUGUAUUAAUCUUCCUUUCAGAAGGCUGUCCAAGAGUAGACGGCAGGUUGGAUACGUGUUACUCACCCGUGCCG